This 242-nucleotide ribosomal RNA is filed under the name uncultured Porphyromonadaceae bacterium. RNAcentral describes it as "partial 16S ribosomal RNA". It matches the Rfam family "Bacterial small subunit ribosomal RNA", at positions 796 to 1041 of the family's 1533-position model. The record is from RNAcentral. Lineage: Bacteria; Pseudomonadati; Bacteroidota; Bacteroidia; Bacteroidales; Porphyromonadaceae.
CACGCAGUAAACGAUGAUUACUGGCUGUUUGCGAUACAAUGUAAGCGGCUGAGCGAAAGCGUUAAGUAAUCCACCUGGGGAGUACGUUCGCAAGAAUGAAACUCAAAGGAAUUGACGGGGGCCCGCACAAGCGGAGGAACAUGUGGUUUAAUUCGAUGAUACGCGAGGAACCUUACCCGGGCUUGAAAUGCGGUGGACCGGCGGAGAGAUCCGCCUUCCCUUCGGGGCCACCGUGUAGGUGC